Molecule: non-coding RNA, 46 nt
Organism: Schistosoma margrebowiei
Lineage: Eukaryota; Metazoa; Platyhelminthes; Trematoda; Strigeidida; Schistosomatidae
Source: Rfam
GCACAGCUGAGGAGUCUUAAAAUAGGACGAAACGGCCUUCCAGUAA